Molecule: non-coding RNA, 147 nt
Organism: Macaca mulatta (Rhesus monkey)
Lineage: Eukaryota; Metazoa; Chordata; Mammalia; Primates; Cercopithecidae
Source: Rfam
GCCAGGCGUGGUGGUGCACGCCUGUAGUCCCAGCUACUCGGAGGCUGAGGCAGAAGAAUGGCGUGAACCCGGGAGGCGGAGCUUGCAGUGAGCUGAGAUCGGGCCACUGCACUCCAGCCUGGGUAACAAAGCAAGACUCUGUCUCAA